UCUAGACAUCAGGAAUAUAGAGAGAAGAGAGAAGUGCCUGGCAACCACCGAGCCUUCCCUCACUCCAGCUGACCCCUGCUGCUGAGGAUCAGGGAUGAGAAAUGUCCCUUGCCCUGCAGUUUCUCACUGUCCAUACCUUCCAAAGAUGACUGUGAAUAGAACCUGAGAAACAGGUUCCAGAGGUCCCAGGGGCUGGACUUCGCUGCCUCCCCAAGUUAACAGAAAAACAAAGGAAGUGCACACAUGGAUUGGGAAAUGACGGAGCUUCAAAAUGUCAUGGGACACCCUUGGGAGAUGAAGCUGGAUAUGGGAACAGUGGCUCUCUGGGAUGUGCCAUUCGCUGCUUGACAGGGAAUCAGGGUUGGUUCCACAGUCAUGUUCUGGAACCAUGUUUGACCACAGUGACUUGAGAAACAGAUGAUGGUGGUUGAGUAGUUGGAGGUGGCUGAAGAGAGGAUGACCAGAGCCAGCUGACGAAGGACUUCUGACAGUGUGACUGUCCUGGAGAACCUUUCAAGGCUACCUGUAUCUCAGAGACCCUUGCCUUUACCCAAACAGGCACUAAGGAGAUUCAAGAAAGUUUCAUAACCCUUUGCCCAGCAUCUGACUGAAAAAGCUCUAAGGAUACCUAAUCUCCAGGUUCUAUGCCUGAUGUCUCCCUUCUGGAUAACUUCCAAGUCUUUUUGUCUUCUGAGGUCACACCCUUAAUUUUCAAAUAAAAUGGCUUUAUCUUU
Long non-coding RNA from Gorilla gorilla gorilla (western lowland gorilla), 734 nucleotides. RefSeq lists it as uncharacterized. NCBI's taxonomy places the organism in Eukaryota, Metazoa, Chordata, Mammalia, Primates, Hominidae. The record is from RefSeq and is a predicted model, not a curated record. The transcript has 2 exons.